RNAcentral lists this RNase P RNA (365 nucleotides) under Microbacterium mangrovi. Its description in RNAcentral is "Bacterial RNase P class A". It matches the Rfam family "Bacterial RNase P class A". Rfam says of the family: Ribonuclease P (RNase P) is a ubiquitous endoribonuclease, found in archaea, bacteria and eukarya as well as chloroplasts and mitochondria. Its best characterised activity is the generation of mature 5'-ends of tRNAs by cleaving the 5'-leader elements of precursor-tRNAs. The record is from Rfam by way of RNAcentral. Lineage: Bacteria; Bacillati; Actinomycetota; Actinomycetes; Micrococcales; Microbacteriaceae.
UGGGUCGGCCGGACGGUCGCGUCGCACGCGGUUCGCCGCAUGCGCCGAGGAACGUCCGGGCUCCACAGGGCAGGGCGGUGGGUAACACCCACCCGGAGUGAUCCGCGAGACAGUGCCACAGAGAGCAGACCGCCGGCGUGAGCCGGUAAGGGUGAAAGGGCGGUGUAAGAGACCACCGGGAUGCUGGUGACAGCAUCCGCACGGCAAACCUCGCCCGGAGCAAGGCCAGACAGGGGAUGAUGACGCGGCCCGCCGAGUCCCCGGGUAGGCCGCUGGAACGGCACGGCAACGUGUCGUCGAGAGAGAUGACCGUCGAAGGGGCGCACGCCCCGGAACAGAACCCGGCGUACAGGCCGGCCCAUUCG